ACAGGUGCAGCAUUGUUGUCGUCCGCUCGUCGUGAGAGAUGGUGUUAAAAGCCCAGCAGACGAGCAACACCCCUUGAUCUUUGCCCCCUCGUUAAGUUGGGCACUUUUAAGAGACCGCCGGUGACAAACCGGAGGAAGGUGGGGAUGACGUCAAGUCAUCAUGCCCCUUAUGACCAGGGCUACACACGUGCUACAAUGGUAGGGACAGAGAGCUGCAAGACCGCGAGGGCAAGCCAAUCUCAGAAACCCUUUCUCAGUUCGGAUUGGAGUCUGCAACUCGCCUCCAUGAAGUCGGAAUCGCUAGUAAUCGCGGAUCAGCAUUGCUCCGGGGAUUACUUUCCCGGCCUUGGUCCCCCCCGCCCUUCCCCCCAGGGGAUUUGUAACAACCAGAAGUCAGGUAGGUAACCUUCUGGAGGCAGCUGC
Molecule: ribosomal RNA, 423 nt
Filed under: Stenotrophomonas maltophilia
Lineage: Bacteria; Pseudomonadati; Pseudomonadota; Gammaproteobacteria; Lysobacterales; Lysobacteraceae
Description: bacterial SSU rRNA
Rfam family: Bacterial small subunit ribosomal RNA
Source: RNAcentral